Molecule: ribosomal RNA, 474 nt
Filed under: uncultured soil bacterium
Lineage: Bacteria
Description: bacterial SSU rRNA
Rfam family: Bacterial small subunit ribosomal RNA
Source: RNAcentral
AGGACGAACGCUGGCGGCGUGCUUAACACAUGCAAGUCGAGCGGUAAGGCCUUUCGGGGUACACGAGCGGCGAACGGGUGAGUAACACGUGGGUGAUCUGCCCUGCACUUCGGGAUAAGCCUGGGAAACUGGGUCUAAUACCGGAUAUGACCUCCGAUCGCAUGGUUGGUGGUGGAAAGAUUUAUCGGUGCAGGAUGGGCCCGCGGCCUAUCAGCUUGUUGGUGGGGUAAUGGCCUACCAAGGCGACGACGGGUAGCCGACCUGAGAGGGUGACCGGCCACACUGGGACUGAGACACGGCCCAGACUCCUACGGGAGGCAGCAGUGGGAAUAUUGCACAAUGGGCGAAAGCCUGAUGCAGCGACGCCGCGUGAGGAUGACGGCCUUCGGGUUGUAAACCUCUUUCGAGCGAGGACGAAGCGCAAGUGACGUACUGCAGAAGAAGCGACCGGCUAACUACGUGCCAGCAGCCGAC